UCGUGCUGGUGCACCGAACUGCUUUCCUCACGUUCGAUCAGUGAUUGCUCCACGUUCUAAYGUUGGAUGCAAAGAGGGGGGUUCCUGUGUUGCCUACCUAUCGAGAUGGAAAUCGGUUGCCUUCUUUGUGCCUUUCGUCCUCGCGUCCCGCUGGACGUUCGGAUGGACUAGACGGGAGGGCUCGUGUUGCACGGACAUCUCGCACGAUCGUUCUGAUGGACCACGAGCGACUUCUCGUUCUCUCGGAUGCGGAAAGUCCCUAAUGGGCGUGGGUCAUUGGCCUUCGGUCCCGAAUCUAUCUGUAAGCGAUCAUCGCUUUACAUGGCAAUGAAUGACGCUCUCGCCACGUCUUCGACCACGCGGAUCUCUCGGGCUCUCGCGAUGGAUCGUGCGGGGCGGACGUCGGGAAGGAAUGC
RNAcentral lists this unclassified non-coding RNA (416 nucleotides) under Leptospermopsis incana. Its description in RNAcentral is "partial external transcribed spacer". The record is from RNAcentral. Lineage: Eukaryota; Viridiplantae; Streptophyta; Magnoliopsida; Myrtales; Myrtaceae.